UACGUAGGGCGCAAGCGUUGUCCGGAAUUAUUGGGCGUAAAGAGUUCGUAGGCGGUUUGUUAAGUCUGAUGUUAAAGAUCGGGGCCCAACCCUGGGAGUGCAUUGGAUACUGGCAGACUGGAGUGCAGUAGAGGCAAGUGGAAUUCCCAGUGUAGCGGUGAAAUGCGUAGAUAUUGGGAAGAACACCGGUGGCGCAGGCGACUUGCUGGGCUGUAACUGACGCUGAGGAACGAAAGCUAGGGGAGCAAAUGGG
Molecule: ribosomal RNA, 253 nt
Filed under: uncultured bacterium
Lineage: Bacteria
Description: partial 16S ribosomal RNA
Rfam family: Bacterial small subunit ribosomal RNA
Source: RNAcentral